CUACCCUUGACAUGGAAGGAAUCCUUGAGAGAUCGAGGAGUGCUCGAAAGAGAACCUUUACACAGGUGCUGCAUGGCUGUCGUCAGCUCGUGUCGUGAGAUGUUGGGUUAAGUCCCGCAACGAGCGCAACCCUUGUCAUUAGUUGCUGCGAAAGGGCACUCUAAUGAGACUGCCGGUGACAAACCGGAGGAAGGUGGGGAUGACGUCAAGUCCUCAUGGCCCUUAUGGGUAGGGCUUCACACGUCAUACAAUGGUACAUACAGAGGGCCGCCAACCCGCGAGGGGGAGCUAAUCCCAGAAAGUGUAUCGUAGUCCGGAUUGUAGUCUGCAACUCGACUACAUGAAGUUGGAAUCGCUAGUAAUCGCGGAUCAGCAUGUCGCGGUGAAUACGUUCCCGGGUCUUGUACACACCGCCCGUCACACCAUGGGAGCGGGUUUUACCAGAAGUAGGUAGCUUAACCGCAAGGAGGGCGCUUACCACGGUAGGAUUCGUGACUGGGGUG
RNAcentral lists this ribosomal RNA (503 nucleotides) under uncultured bacterium. RNAcentral's name for it is "bacterial SSU rRNA". It matches the Rfam family "Bacterial small subunit ribosomal RNA", at positions 975 to 1482 of the family's 1533-position model. The record is from RNAcentral.